RNAcentral lists this ribosomal RNA (567 nucleotides) under uncultured bacterium. Its description in RNAcentral is "bacterial SSU rRNA". It matches the Rfam family "Bacterial small subunit ribosomal RNA", at positions 69 to 669 of the family's 1533-position model. The record is from RNAcentral.
AAGUAGUGCCUAUGCGCUAUUUAGUGGCAAACGGGUGAGUAACACGUAGCUUAGCUGUCCUAAAGUGGGGGAUAGCCGCGGGAAGCCGCGGGUAAUACCGCAUGUGAUCUACGGAUUAAAGCUUAAUGCGCUUUAGGAGGUGGCUGCGGCCCAUCAGGUUGUUGGCGGGGUAAUGGCCCACCAAGCCUAUGACGGGUAUCCGGCCUGAGAGGGUGAUCGGACACAUUGGAACUGAGACACGGUCCAGACUCCUACGGGAGGCAGCAGCUAGGAAUUUUCCGCAAUGGACGAAAGUCUGACGGAGCAACGCCGCGUGAAGGAUGAAGGUCUUUAGGGAUUGUAAACUUCUUUUAUAUGAGACGAGUAAGGACGGUAUCAUAAGAAUAAGUCCCGGCUAACUACGUGCCAGCAGCCGCGGUAAUACGUAGGGGGCUAGCGUUGUUCGGAAUUACUGGGUAUAAAGGGUGCGCAGGCGGAUUUCUAAGCAAGAGGUGAAAUGUCAAGGCUCAACCAUGGCACCGCCUUUUGAACUGGUUAUCUGGAGUACAGAAGGGGAGAGCAGAAUUU